RNAcentral lists this ribosomal RNA (1343 nucleotides) under uncultured bacterium. RNAcentral describes it as "16S ribosomal RNA". It matches the Rfam family "Bacterial small subunit ribosomal RNA", at positions 28 to 1378 of the family's 1533-position model. The record is from RNAcentral.
GACGAACGCUGGCGGCGUGCUUAACACAUGCAAGUCGAACGGAAAGGCCCUGCUUUUGUGGGGUGCUCGAGUGGCGAACGGGUGAGUAACACGUGAGUAACCUGCCCUUGACUUUGGGAUAACUUCAGGAAACUGGGGCUAAUACCGGAUAGGAGCUCCUGCUGCAUGGUGGGGGUUGGAAAGUUUCGGCGGUUGGGGAUGGACUCGCGGCUUAUCAGCUCGUUGGUGGGGUAGUGGCUUACCAAGGCUUUGACGGGUAGCCGGCCUGAGAGGGUGACCGGCCACAUUGGGACUGAGAUACGGCCCAGACUCCUACGGGAGGCAGCAGUGGGGAAUAUUGCACAAUGGGCGGAAGCCUGAUGCAGCAACGCCGCGUGCGGGAUGACGGCCUUCGGGUUGUAAACCGCUUUCGCCUGUGACGAAGCGUGAGUGACGGUAAUGGGUAAAGAAGCACCGGCUAACUACGUGCCAGCAGCCGCGGUGAUACGUAGGGUGCGAGCGUUGUCCGGAUUUAUUGGGCGUAAAGGGCUCGUAGGUGGUUGAUCGCGUCGGAAGUGUAAUCUUGGGGCUUAACCCUGAGCGUGCUUUCGAUACGGGUUGACUUGAGGAAGGUAGGGGAGAAUGGAAUUCCUGGUGGAGCGGUGGAAUGCGCAGAUAUCAGGAGGAACACCAGUGGCGAAGGCGGUUCUCUGGGCCUUUCCUGACGCUGAGGAGCGAAAGCGUGGGGAGCGAACAGGCUUAGAUACCCUGGUAGUCCACGCUGUAAACGGUGGGUACUAGGUGUGGGGUCCAUUCCACGGGUUCCGUGCCGUAGCUAACGCUUUAAGUACCCCGCCUGGGGAGUACGGCCGCAAGGCUAAAACUCAAAGGAAUUGACGGGGCCCCGCACAAGCGGCGGAGCAUGCGGAUUAAUUCGAUGCAACGCGUAGAACCUUACCUGGGUUUGACAUGGAUCGGGAGCGCUCAGAGAUGGGUGUGCCUCUUUUGGGGUCGGUUCACAGGUGGUGCAUGGCUGUCGUCAGCUCGUGUCGUGAGAUGUUGGGUUAAGUCCCGCAACGAGCGCAACCCUUGUUCACUGUUGCCAGCACGUUAUGGUGGGGACUCAGUGGAGACCGCCGGGGUCAACUCGGAGGAGGGUGGGGAUGACGUCAAGUCAUCAUGCCCCUUAUGUCCAGGGCUUCACGCAUGCUACAAUGGCUGGUACAGAGAGUGGCGAGCCUGUGAGGGUGAGCGAAUCUCGGAAAGCCGGUCUCAGUUCGGAUUGGGGUCUGCAACUCGACCUCAUGAAGUCGGAGUCGCUAGUAAUCGCAGAUCAGCAACGCUGCGGUGAAUACGUUCCCGGG